AGUAGCUUGAAAUAGAAGAGUCUCUGGUUAACAUGCUGAGGAACUAAUCCAGAAUGGAUGUGAGAACACAUUCAGAUCCUCCUCUCCUAUACUGGCUGGCAGACUCAACAGGCUGCAGUAGACUUAGGUCUUUAAUUCCUCUGGAGAGGAUGUAACUUCUGGAGGAACUGGAUUUUGACAUCCCCACCCCAUUGUUCACCCCUUUCCUUCAGGCAAGGAAGACAGCAGCAAGCACCACUCAGCUCAUGCGUGAAGGGUCAUCCGAUACGAGAAAGAGAAAUACAUGAAGUUGCAGCAUCUUGGGGAACUGUGCACCAAUGGCCAUGGGCUCAGCAGGGGAUAAUGUCAGAGCAGCAAAUGGAGACCCAUAUCAAUUCAGACUUCUCCCUCCCCACCCCUCCUGGUACUGUCAGCACUGGAUCAGCCCAAGACUUCCAGGGGAGCCUAUUGUCUGAACACGACAGAGUUUACCCCUGCCUGCCUCUCAAGCAGUCACUGACGUGCUGCUGAAGGGGCUGCCUGGGGAAGAAACACCUGCAAGGAGCCACAGCUGCAGUGGGAGCUGCUCUCCUAAUGCUCUGUUUAGGAUUACAGCACUCCAGAGCAUCACGUUACCCCAGUGGCUGCACUGAAACCUGGUAUUAAUUCACAUUAGCAAGGAUCAGAUUUAGCAUGUUGGGAGGGGGAGGACUGUUGUUAUUUUUUCUAAAACUGCUGGAGCAAACUCCUAGGACUGGUCUUUCAUUAAUCCUGGCAAUGGCCAGAGGAGCUUCUUUGUUCCUCUGUAUCACUGGCCACUUUUUUUUGUCUCCUCUUUCACAAAUGCUUCUAAACACAGGCACUUGUUUCGUGAUGGGAUUACUUGUUUAUCUUUAUUUUUGAUGCACCAAAGUUAGUAACUUUCAAAGCAAAUUUCUUAUUAUUGUGGACUCACAUUGGAUUGCAUCAGCGACAGAAUGGGAUCUUCCAAUAUUAAGAAGACAGCUGCGGUGUGGUGGAGGACCACCUCUUGUCCACGCUCAUGAUGGAUUAUCCCAUGAUCAGAAAAAAAGAAAGAAGAUCUAAACAGUAAGAGCACUGCAACUCUGAGACAGAUUUUCUUAGGGUGGCUAUGGAGUCUUCAUCACUGGAUAAUUUUAAGAAUGUCUGUACAGUAAAUCUGAUCUUGUCUUUGGGAAGGAACAUGCCACAUGCCCUGUAAGGUUCCUUCCCUUCUCCCCCCUCUCCCCCCUUUUUUUUUAAUGCAACCAUUGUGAGAGUGAGGUGGAAUUUAUGGUAAGAUACUUCUCAUCCCCUUCUGUCCCCUCACAACCUCUUCAUUGUGUGUAGUUAAGGCUGCUUCCAUCUGAGAAGCAUAGGCAUUCCCCAGGCUUAUCUGUUGCACCUAGAGUGGUGUGUUUAGCUGUCCCUCUAGGGCCUUGUGACACCAUCCUGGUGUUUUUCUGAGCUAAGGGACAUUCCGCAUACAUAUGAUUGACCCCUGAUUUCAUCUGGUGCCUGUUGAAUCCGCAGCAGCAAGAGCCGCUGGUCAGUACAGCUAGUGUUAAAUACCACCCAAAUGCCCAUCUACAGCCUUGGAAAGGAUAUGAAAAAUUAAGUGAAAAAGAAGGAUUUGAACUGAAGCCUUCAAAGGCUGCAAAUCCCAACCAUGUUUGUUCAUUUUAUUUACAGUUCCAGAAUUACUUUGAAAUGUCGUUCAUAUCUUUUAUUCUGCAAGAUUUGGAAACAUUCAAAUGCUUAGCUAGAGAGGGGUGGACUAGAAUGGUGUGGCCAGAGAAGAGACAAGAAGUCUGGCACUGUAUGCAGCACCAGGGGUGAAGAAUGAGUUAGUAGCACACCAUCUACUGACCCUUGCAUGACAUUUCUUUGUGUAGAGGAGAGAAUACUUCUGCCAUUUGUUAGAAUGGCAGCCUUGUGCAUGGAAAUCUUCUGCAGAUCAUCCAGAUUUGUAAAGCCAGAAGAAGACACCUGAAUAUAGGAAUUUCACCUCCUGUACAAAUGUAGGCCAUCAAACUUCAGCUUAUUACUGAGCCCGAAUAUUUUGUUCCAGAAAUGUAGCCAGGAAGUGAGAAAUCAAGUGCUUUGUAUGAUUCUUUAUUUCACUUAAGCUGCUGAUUCCCUUUCCCUGCUGCUCUGGUGUGGUUCCACACUGUCCUGAUAAGAACUGUGUGUGCUGCAGGGGAAAGUCAACCUUCAUGGGUCUUGGCAUCUCAAGAUCAAAGUACUGUAAGAGUGACCAUCCAUCUUAUCUCAUACAUGCCACGCUGCCGCUCGCAGAUGGCAAACAUUGCAGGCAGCUUUGUCAUCAGUCAGCUUGGGAUCAUGUUUAGGGAACUGGAGUGAUGGACUGUCAGAGCCUGGCUCCCUCUGGAAUCAAUGGAGAAAAGUAGCUGCUGCCUGUAUGUUAGUGCAUCUAUGGCAGACAGAUUUUGCUCUUUUUUCCUCUGGUAGAGCUCUGGAGCCAUAAGGAGAUCUUCCACUGAAACUUUGUUUUCACCUUUAUUGCUUUCUCUUUCCCUCUGUGUUCUCACACCCAAACUUAUUGAUAUUCACUUUAAUUCUCCUUGGGAAAAAAAAAUAAAAAGAAAAGAAAAAAAAAC
Long non-coding RNA from Anas platyrhynchos (mallard), 2600 nucleotides. RefSeq lists it as uncharacterized. NCBI's taxonomy places the organism in Eukaryota, Metazoa, Chordata, Aves, Anseriformes, Anatidae. The record is from RefSeq and is a predicted model, not a curated record.